Molecule: ribosomal RNA, 253 nt
Filed under: uncultured bacterium
Lineage: Bacteria
Description: partial 16S ribosomal RNA
Rfam family: Bacterial small subunit ribosomal RNA
Source: RNAcentral
UACGUAGGGUGCGAGCGUUGUCCGGAAUUACUGGGCGUAAAGAGCUCGUAGGUGGUUUGUCGCGUUGUCCGUGAAAACUCACAGCUCAACUGUGGGCGUGCGGGCGAUACGGGCAGACUGGAGUACUGCAGGGGAGACUGGAAUUCCUGGUGUAGCGGUGGAAUGCGCAGAUAUCAGGAGGAACACCGGUGGCGAAGGCGGGUCUCUGGGCAUGUCCUGACGCUGAGGAGCGAAAGUGUGGGGAGUGAACAGG